GACGAACGCUGGCGGCGUGCUUAACACAUGCAAGUCGAACGGAAAGGCCCUGCUUUUGUGGGGUGCUCGAGUGGCGAACGGGUGAGUAACACGUGAGUAACCUGCCCUUGACUUUGGGAUAACUUCAGGAAACUGGGGCUAAUACCGGAUAGGAGCUCCUGCUGCAUGGUGGGGGUUGGAAAGUUUCGGCGGUUGGGGAUGGACUCGCGGCUUAUCAGCUUGUUGGUGGGGUAGUGGCUUACCAAGGCUUUGACGGGUAGCCGGCCUGAGAGGGUGACCGGCCACAUGGGGACUGAGAUACGGCCCAGACUCGUACGGGAGGCAGCAGGGGGGAAUAUUGCACAAUGGGCGGAAGCCUGAUGCAGAAACGCCGCGUGCGGGAUGACGGCCUUCGGGUUGUAAACCGCUUUCGCCUGUGACGAAGCGUGAGUGACGGUAAUGGGUAAAGAAGCACCGGCUAACUACGUG
RNAcentral lists this ribosomal RNA (468 nucleotides) under uncultured bacterium. RNAcentral's name for it is "partial 16S ribosomal RNA". It matches the Rfam family "Bacterial small subunit ribosomal RNA", at positions 28 to 507 of the family's 1533-position model. The record is from RNAcentral.